Long non-coding RNA from Peromyscus leucopus (white-footed mouse), 410 nucleotides. RefSeq lists it as uncharacterized. The record is from RefSeq and is a predicted model, not a curated record. The transcript has 2 exons. NCBI's taxonomy places the organism in Eukaryota, Metazoa, Chordata, Mammalia, Rodentia, Cricetidae.
CCAGAAGCCCACAGGUAAAGACAGGUGGAUUACAGCAACUCAGUGGCCAAUAACUCUAGUUCCAGGGACUCUCAUGUCCUCUUCCGACCUUCACAGGCACCAGACAAGCAUGCGGUACACAUACAUACAGUGGAGCAAAACCACUCCUAUACAUAAAAUAAGUAAGUCUCAUUUUUAAAACAUUUGUCUAUCUGUGCAGGUAUGUUUUGUGUGGGGGCACACUUGUGGGACAGCAUGCCUGGUAAAGGUCAAAAAACCAUUUGUAGGAGUUGGUUUCUCUUUUCACCCUGUGACUCCUGGGAUGGAUCUCAGACCACCAGGAUUAGCUUUGGGUCUGUUAUGGAAAAAGAACAAGAGAGCACUUUGGAAACAGAGGCAAAAAUCUGACAAUAAAGGAAGUUAAAAAAUAA